CCAUGGAUCACCAGCUGCUCAUAUUGCCCCCAGUACUGUGUCAAACUGCUUACAUGCAAUAUGACACAAAGCCAAGUUUUCCAAGAUGCUGGUGGCCUGCCCCUUACUCGUAUUGCUAAUAUGGAAGUUACAUUUACUAAUGAGCAAUGUCAAUUUUCAUCAUAUUUCGAUGACAUUGAUUGGCAGACAGUGGGAAUAUGGUAGGAGGGGUU
Molecule: non-coding RNA, 212 nt
Organism: Pelobates cultripes (western spadefoot toad)
Lineage: Eukaryota; Metazoa; Chordata; Amphibia; Anura; Pelobatidae
Source: the annotation of a GenBank genome assembly